UGGCGGACGGGUGAGUAACGCGUGGGUAACCUGCCUCAUACAGGGGGAUAACAGUUAGAAAUGACUGCUAAUACCGCAUAAGACCACAGUACCGCAUGGUACAGGGGUAAAAACUCCGGUGGUAUGAGAUGGACCCGCGUCUGAUUAGGUAGUUGGUGGGGUAACGGCCUACCAAGCCGACGAUCAGUAGCCGACCUGAGAGGGUGACCGGCCACAUUGGAACUGAGACACGGUCCAA
This 238-nucleotide ribosomal RNA is filed under the name uncultured bacterium. Its description in RNAcentral is "partial 16S ribosomal RNA". It matches the Rfam family "Bacterial small subunit ribosomal RNA", at positions 96 to 334 of the family's 1533-position model. The record is from RNAcentral.